This 295-nucleotide signal recognition particle RNA is filed under the name Cebus imitator (Panamanian white-faced capuchin). Its description in RNAcentral is "Metazoan signal recognition particle RNA (ENSCCAG00000012899.1)". It matches the Rfam family "Metazoan signal recognition particle RNA". Rfam says of the family: The signal recognition particle (SRP) is a universally conserved ribonucleoprotein. The record is from RNAcentral. Lineage: Eukaryota; Metazoa; Chordata; Mammalia; Primates; Cebidae.
GCCAGGCACGGUGUCGCGCUUGUAGUCCCAGCUACUCGGGAGUCUGAGGGUGAAGGAUCGCUUGAGCCCAGGAGUUCUGGGCUGUAGUGCACUAUGCUGAUCAGGUGUCCGCACUAAGUUCGGCAUAAAUAUGGUGACCUCCUGGGAGCUGGGGACCACCAGGUCGCCUAAGGAGGGGUGAACUGGCCCAGGUCGGAAAAGGAGCAGGUCAAAUCCUGUGCUGAUCAGUAGUGGGAUUGCGGCUGUGCAUAGCUACUGCACUUCAGCCUGGACUACAUAGCGAGACCCCGUUUCU